GACGAACGCUGGCGGCGUGCCUAAUACAUGCGAGUCGAACGCUUCUUUCCUCCCGAGUGCUUGCACUCCAUUGGAAAGAGGAGUGGCGGACGGGUGAGUAACACGUGGGUAACCUACCCAUCAGAGGGGGAUAACACUUGGAAACAGGUGCUAAUACCGCAUACCAGUUUAUGCCGCAUGGCAUAAGAGGGAAAGGCGCUUUCGGGUGUCGCUGAUGGAUGGACCCGCGGCUCAUUAGCUAGUUGGUGAGGUAACGGCUCACCAAGGCGACGAUGCAUAGCCGACCUGAGAGGGCCACCGGCCACACUGGGACUGAGACACGGUCCAGACUACUACGGGAGGAAGCAGUGGGGAAUCUUCGCCAAUGGGCGAAAGCCUGACGGAGCAAUGCCGAGUGAGUGAUGAAGGUCUUCGGAUCGUAAAACGCUGUUAUUAGGGAAGAACAAGUGUGUAAGUAAAUCUGCACGUCAUGACGGUACCUAAUCAGAAAGCCCCGGCUAACUACGUG
RNAcentral lists this ribosomal RNA (508 nucleotides) under uncultured bacterium. RNAcentral describes it as "partial 16S ribosomal RNA". It matches the Rfam family "Bacterial small subunit ribosomal RNA", at positions 28 to 507 of the family's 1533-position model. The record is from RNAcentral.